RNAcentral lists this ribosomal RNA (406 nucleotides) under uncultured bacterium. Its description in RNAcentral is "partial 16S ribosomal RNA". It matches the Rfam family "Bacterial small subunit ribosomal RNA", at positions 30 to 526 of the family's 1533-position model. The record is from RNAcentral.
AUUGAACGCUGGCGGCAGGCCUAACACAUGCAAGUCGAACGAAUGGCGGACGGGUGAGUAAUGUCUGGGAAACUGCCCGAUGGAGGGGGAUAACUACUGGAAACGGUAUCUAAUACCGCAUACCAUCGGAUGUGCCCAGAUGGGAUUAGCUUGUAGGUGAGGUAACGGCCCACCUAGGAGACGAUCCCUAGCUGGUCUGAGAGGAUGACCAGCAAAACUGGAACUGAGACACUGUCCAGACGCCUACGGGAGGCAGCAGUGGGGAAUAUGGCACAAUGGGCGCAAGCCUGAUGCAGCCAUGCCGCGUGUAUGAAGAAGGCCUUCGGGUUGUAAAGUACUUUCAGCGGGGAGGCGUUACCCGCAGAAGAAGCACCGACUAACUCCGUGCCAGCAGCCGCGGUAAUAC